RNAcentral lists this ribosomal RNA (252 nucleotides) under uncultured bacterium. RNAcentral's name for it is "partial 16S ribosomal RNA". It matches the Rfam family "Bacterial small subunit ribosomal RNA", at positions 524 to 776 of the family's 1533-position model. The record is from RNAcentral.
UACGGAGGAUGCGAGCGUUAUCCGGAUUUAUUGGGUUUAAAGGGUGCGUAGGCGGGAUGCCAAGUCAGCGGUAAGAAUGCGGUGCUCAACGCCGUCGAGCCGUUGAAACUGGCGUUCUUGAGUGGGCGAGAAGUAUGCGGAAUGCGUGGUGUAGCGGUGAAAUGCAUAGAUAUCACGCAGAACUCCGAUUGCGAAGGCAGCAUACCGGCGCCCUACUGACGCUGAGGCACGAAAGCGUGGGUAUCGAACAGG